Eubalaena glacialis (North Atlantic right whale) is the source of this 515-nucleotide long non-coding RNA. RefSeq lists it as uncharacterized. The transcript is spliced from 3 exons. NCBI's taxonomy places the organism in Eukaryota, Metazoa, Chordata, Mammalia, Artiodactyla, Balaenidae. The record is from RefSeq and is a predicted model, not a curated record.
GCACAGGGGCGCUAGCCUACUGUGUUCCCUCUUUGCCUGGCAAAAAAUAAAGCUAUUCUUUCUUUUUCUCCAAAACUCUGUCUCCGUAUUUCUGUUUGGCAUCAGUGCACAGAGAGCCAAGAUUUUUGGCAUCAUACUUUCCUGUUCUGCAGAGAGCAUUGGUGCUGCUUCUGUUUCCCUUGGCGAACAAAAGUCUUGGGAAGGUUCAAAAGAAGGGAGUUGAGCAUUGUCUUUAAAGUAGAUGUUCUCCCAGGAAUUUGACCUAGAUGCCGACAAGACUUUGGAAACUACUGGAAAAUCGAAUUCUAAAAGUGGUCUUUAGUCCUGUGAUGUCUUCGGUAGUCUUCCACAAGAUGCCUAUUGACUGGAAUGUUACAUAUUUCCCCUUUUCUUUAAUGGGAAAAAGAUGAAAUUAUGUGCAAUUCUUUCAGCUUGUAAAAGUGUCAUUUUUCCAAUGCUUUUUCUUAUUUGCAGCUUCUAUUCUAAAGCAACUUGUAUAACUUUAAAAAGUCAGA